UACGGAGGGUGCGAGCGUUAAUCGGAAUUACUGGGCGUAAAGCGUACGCAGGCGGUUUGUUAAGCGAGAUGUGAAAGCCCCGGGCUCAACCUGGGAACUGCAUUUCGAACUGGCAAACUAGAGUCUUGGAGAGGGGAGUGGAAUUCCAGGUGUAGCGGUGAAAUGCGUAGAUAUCUGGAGGAACAUCAGUGGCGAAGGCGACUCCCUGGCAUCAUACUGACACUGAGGCUCGAAAGCGUGGGUAGCAAACAGG
This 253-nucleotide ribosomal RNA is filed under the name uncultured bacterium. RNAcentral's name for it is "partial 16S ribosomal RNA". It matches the Rfam family "Bacterial small subunit ribosomal RNA", at positions 524 to 776 of the family's 1533-position model. The record is from RNAcentral.